CGCAGCGGCCAUGAAACCGGCAUAAGACCCGCCCCUUCUCUCGGCCCCUCCCCUCUCCUGGUUGAGCCAGCUCGCCUCCUGAAUUUAAGAUCCUAGAAGACCCAGUUCAAGCAGGCACCAUACAUGCAAGUGGUUCACAUACAAACCACCCAGUCAAAGAACCCGUACACAUAAAAUAAAAAUAAAUCUUAAGAACAAUGAAAAGAA
Long non-coding RNA from Mus musculus (house mouse), 207 nucleotides. RefSeq annotates it as predicted gene, 39625. The record is from RefSeq and is a predicted model, not a curated record. Lineage: Eukaryota; Metazoa; Chordata; Mammalia; Rodentia; Muridae. The transcript has 2 exons.